Long non-coding RNA from Girardinichthys multiradiatus, 563 nucleotides. RefSeq lists it as uncharacterized. The transcript is spliced from 3 exons. The record is from RefSeq and is a predicted model, not a curated record. NCBI's taxonomy places the organism in Eukaryota, Metazoa, Chordata, Actinopteri, Cyprinodontiformes, Goodeidae.
GGUUUGGGACCCCUAUAGGAAUCUGAAGCUGGGGGUUUGCCAUAUCUUGAAUCACAGUGUGGAGAAUAAUAUUGCAGGUCAGAUUGCUCAUGUGUACUGGAUUCUCCUCCAGUUCACCAUCUGAUUCCAAGCCUCCUUCUCUGAUUCAGACACCCUCUCGGGCAAGACUCCAGCUGACAGCAUUCUGGCUCCUCUUACUCCAAGGACAACAAGCAGUUGACAACUCCGGAUCAAGAUCACAACUAUCAGACUAACUCUCCACUCCCACACCCACAUCGUUUCCCCCCUGGCGGUUCAUUCUCUCAUCAACUGUAAGCACUAGAUCCAUCAAUAUCUUCAUAAUCAUCUCAGACGUUUCCUAACCCUCCUGUCCUCUUUCCCGCACAGUUGAUGUGUUCCUGGUUCCAGGUUCCAGAAAAUAUAGUCUCAUAAUAACCCUUUUAAACCUUCUUCUGCCUCCUGUGUGUUCUGCACGUGGGUCAAAGCAGCAAAAACUAUGACAUGGAGAACCUUUUGAAUCAGUAAACCACUUAAAUACAGCAUGUCUGCCAAGAUGAAGUAGG